RNAcentral lists this ribosomal RNA (592 nucleotides) under Hanseniaspora uvarum. RNAcentral's name for it is "eukaryotic LSU rRNA". It matches the Rfam family "Eukaryotic large subunit ribosomal RNA", at positions 50 to 656 of the family's 3401-position model. Lineage: Eukaryota; Fungi; Ascomycota; Saccharomycetes; Saccharomycodales; Saccharomycodaceae. The record is from RNAcentral.
UCGGAGGAAAAGAAACCAACUGGGAUUACCUUAGUAACGGCGAGUGAAGCGGUAAAAGCUCAAAUUUGAAAUCUGGUACUUUCAGUGCCCGAGUUGUAAUUUGUAGAAUUUGUCUUUGAUUAGGUCCUUGUCUAUGUUCCUUGGAACAGGACGUCAUAGAGGGUGAGAAUCCCGUUUGGCGAGGAUACCUUUUCUCUGUAAGACUUUUUCGAAGAGUCGAGUUGUUUGGGAAUGCAGCUCAAAGUGGGUGGUAAAUUCCAUCUAAAGCUAAAUAUUGGCGAGAGACCGAUAGCGAACAAGUACAGUGAUGGAAAGAUGAAAAGAACUUUGAAAAGAGAGUGAAAAAGUACGUGAAAUUGUUGAAAGGGAAGGGCAUUUGAUCAGACAUGGUGUUUUUUGCAUGCACUCGCCUCUCGUGGGCUUGGGCCUCUCAAAAAUUUCACUGGGCCAACAUCAAUUCUGGCAGCAGGAUAAAUCAUUAAGAAUGUAGCUACUUCGGUAGUGUUAUAGCUUUUUGGAAUACUGUUAGCCGGGAUUGAGGACUGCGCUUCGGCAAGGAUGUUGGCAUAAUGGUUAAAUGCCGCCCGUCUGA